This 1008-nucleotide long non-coding RNA is filed under the name Cyanistes caeruleus (blue tit). RNAcentral's name for it is "lncRNA (ENSCCEG00000015249.1)". The record is from RNAcentral. Lineage: Eukaryota; Metazoa; Chordata; Aves; Passeriformes; Paridae.
CGCGCCGUCCAGGGGAGGAGAAGGAGGAGAAGCGGCGCAGGUUACGCCGGACUGUUUUUUCCCCCCGUCUCUGUACAUAGAUUCCGCUGAAAGUAUUUUUCAGAGUCUCUAAUUAACACGGAUGAGCUGAACUCUACGAAGCCGUCAGUGACCUCGGAGCUCUCCAGGCAGGAGCCGGCACAGCCCGGGAGGAGCGGCCCCGGCCAGCGCCACCCGCCCUGGGGCACGGCCGGGGCACCCCCGGGCAGCGGGCGGCGAAGUAGGGCGUUGUUAGUGGGUCACCGCCGUCAGUCAGUCAAAAGAGCAGUGCUGCACUUUACAGGACAGACGAGAAAGAGAAACCGUAUCUCUGCAUUAUUUCUGUUUAAUUAAAAGUGUCAUCAAACACUUUGUGUUCAGACUAAUAAACCAAGCAGGGAUGAGGAAAGAAUGUUUCUUUGUUCCCGUCUCUAGAAGCAGUGGCAAUAAUUUAAAUUAAUAACUGUGGUAAUUAAGAGGUCAUCUGUAGAUCAACCCGAUACCUGCUAUUUCCAAGUUCACCGGGGUCAGCAUUUACAUUAAGUCAUUUGUGGUCAAUAGAGUCCAAUGAAUUCUGCCUUAAUAAAUCAGGGAAAUCAAUCUGGAAUAUCGAGUAGACUUCUAUAUGUUUACUAAAGGCUACUCAAGACGAGUGGGGCUACAUAACUGGGAGCCCUCUGGGUUUGCGACCGGAGAAGCAAUUCGUAGGGGAAAGGAGGAGCUGCAGGUCAACGCAGGGAGAUGUGACAGGGCUGUCCCCGGCCUCGGCCCCGGAGCAGAGCAGAAAGAAAGAAGUGGCACUGAAAGAAGGCUAACUUGGUCGGGCUUUGGAGGAUCCGGGGAGGAAAGGGAGGGGGAGGUCAAGUGAGCGAGAUGCAGAUUAUCCCGCCCGCCCAGGACUCCCCUGCAAUCUGUCACGCCGGCAAGAUAUGUAUCGCAAAUCUCUCGAAAUAUAAUCUCCGGGAAUCAUAUUCCGAAUACUGUUUUGAU